CUCUACAUCUCGACAUACAGAAGUAUUACUGGAAGGAUUCCUUCUCUUGCAUGUUUAUUAAGGAAUUCUAGCGUGGUGGCUUCUGGAGGGAGCUCUCAGAUCUGCACGAAGAGCUGUGCUGCCAGAAGGCUGAGCAUCCUGCUGCUACCCUGUGUGGGCUUAGGAGGAGAGCUGUGGAACAUUCUGCCGCAGAGACAAAGAGAGAGGCUGUGUUCCAGGAAGGAGAGACAAGCAGGACUAACAGAAGAGAACUUAACACAGGUGCUGCCUGUGUAUGAAUUCAGGCAUUGGUCUACCCACAAGACAUGUUCCAUGAUAUUGGAAGGACUUAGCGUCCAGGAACUUCAGCUGGUGACAUUCCUCAUUUCGUAUCUCAGAAAAGGAAAUAAUGAGGAGUUUGAUGCACUGGGGACAAACAGAAGUAAAGAGAGAGAAUGCAAUUUUAAAGCACUUCAGCACUUUAUCAUAUUCAAGAGAUUUUUAAAAAAUGUACCUACAGUGCUAUGAGGUAAGAGUUGAAUUUUCCACAUGGUUCACUGGAAAAUUUACUGUUAAAACUCUCUGAAACAUCAUUUAUAGAAGGAACAUAUUUGGAACAUUAACAUGCAGUUCUAACCACUGUCACCAGGCUUGCACUACUGUUUCUUCAGCUAUGGGAGGUGCAAGGCUGAUUCUUAUCAAGAGUUACUCCUUAGCAGCCUAUGACUAAAGGCAGCACGCUGCUCUGGCCUGGAUGUACAAAGACUGAAACUAACACUAGGGCAUGAGAAACAGAGGGGAAACUAUGCUGAACUGUUCACAUUUCUCAUGGUGAGGAAACAAUGGUAACUUAUUUUAGGGUAUCUCUACAAGCAGGCAGCAGGACAACACAGAUUGGCUUUCAAGUCCAGACCAAAUCUUGUUAACUUCAAUACCAGGCAGAUGUGUAGCUUAAUCUGGAUAAAGAUUACACAGUAAUAUAAAACAUGGCAUUAAUCUGCUUGUAAUGAAUUGAUUUUUAUUUCUAAUAUUAAUAAAUUCAGUAAAAAAUUAAUUGAGCCUUUUUUU
This 1047-nucleotide long non-coding RNA is filed under the name Zonotrichia albicollis (white-throated sparrow). Its description in RNAcentral is "lncRNA (ENSZALG00000007001.1)". Lineage: Eukaryota; Metazoa; Chordata; Aves; Passeriformes; Passerellidae. The record is from RNAcentral.